Molecule: non-coding RNA, 135 nt
Organism: Triticum aestivum (bread wheat)
Lineage: Eukaryota; Viridiplantae; Streptophyta; Magnoliopsida; Poales; Poaceae
Source: Rfam
CAUCUACUCCCUCCGUUCCGAAUUACUUGUCUUGGAUUUGUCUAAAUACGGAUGUAUCUUGACUCAUUUUAGUGCUAGAUACCUCUGUAUCUAGACAACUCUACGACAAGUAUUUCGGAACGGAGGGAGUAUAUA